GUAAAAUUUUUAGUUGAAUUAAAAUUCAUCCAAAAAAUCAAGUCCAGUAUGUUUAGCUUUCUUUUGACAGCCAUCUUGGCAUGAAAUUUACCUUAGACUGGGGACAUUGUGAUCAUCAAUCUUGAUUCGCUGGACCCUGUCAUGGAAGUACUUAGUAUUAUAAGCUCUUUCACCUAAAAUAAAUAAUACAUAGGUCAGAUAGCGAUGCCUAAUAAACACAGUAAUUGAUCAAGUUAUGAAGAAGUUCUACUUUUUAUUAUAAAUGCCUUAUCCACCUUAACUUUUUAAAGGUUUUAUUUAUUUGUCAGAGAGCACAAGCAGGGGGAGUAGCAGAGGGAGAGAGAGAAACAGGCUCCUCAUUGAGCAGGGAGCCAGAUUUGGGACUCGAUCCCAGGACUCUAGGAUCAUGACCUGAGCAAAAGGCAGAUGCUUAACCAACUGAGCCACCCAGGCGUCCCCCUUAUCCAGCAUUAAAAGGAGCUUUCUUACUGGCUCUUGUUGCUUUUAAGAAUAUUAAGGGUCUGAAAAACAGAUAGCAGUGGUUUGUCCAUCUUGAGUAACCCAACUUACUUGAAUUUAACAGGCCUUACUUUUAAUUAUAUAGUAGCUUACUCAUCAUAUUACCAUAUAUUACCACAGAGCAGAAGUAAAUGUGGCCAACCAGAAUGCUUGCCUCCUGAAAAUGUCUGUUUAAUAUACAGGAAGAGGAAAAGACAAGACAAUACUAAGUGGGGAUAUAAUCUCUUUUCUACAGGUUUUGUUUUUAAGCAUAUUUUCCCUUGUUUAUUGACUAUUUUGAUUUUUUUCAUUUGGGUUUUGCUCUCCUCACACCCCACUUCUAGUGAAUUAGGAAAUGUAUUUUUUGAAUUGUCUGUCUUCAAAACACAAGCCAGCAGGGAAAACAGAAGUAUUUCCCUAAACCUAACACCACUAGAGCAGAUUCUACCCAAAAUGGCUCUGACUCAACUUAAGCUUCCUGUCUCCCCAACAGGGCAUUUAUACUAUUGAGAUAUUUUUUCCCCUACAAAACAGAACCAACGCAAGAUGGAGAUUUUUAAACUCACUUCCCAUCACCCACCAAAUACUUAUGAUUAAAUGAGAUGUGAAGACUGAAUCAUAUGUAGUGAUCUGUUUCAUAUCAAUAGCAAAAUAUCUGGCCAUGUAUAUACUGCAUAGAUUGUAGACUUGAUAGUGUUCUCAAUGUUUGGUAUCUAAGAACCGCACAACUUCCUAGAAAAAAUAGACACAUGUCUUACAUAAAUCCAUAUGGCACCAAUAUAAGCUAUUCCUUAGGAGUAAGCCAGAAUGGUCAUUACCUUUUAUUCACUUGUCCUUUACUUAGCACCUUUUAGGGGAGAUUCAGGGAAUAGAGUACCUACAUUCCAAGUCCUAGCUUAUCCACUGACAGUUUUCAAAUAGUCCACAAUGUUGUGUGUGACUACCUGAAUAACGUCUACUAUAAAUACACAUUGCUUAAAGCUACCACAGUUAGCUAGCCUUACAUAAACAUGUGAAAAUUAUGAUUUCAUAGUUAUAUAUGAUUCUUAUCUAGAUCUAUUUUUGAAUAGAUAGGUUAUUUAUAUUUUUUAAUUUUUUAAAAAGAUUGAUUUAUUUUAGAAAAAAGAGAGAGAGACCAUGAGUAAGAGGAAGUGGGGGGAUUGGAGAGAGAAUCUUUAGCAGACUCCCCACUUAGCAUGGAGCCUGAUGUGGGCCUCCAUCUCACAACCUUGAGAUCAUGACCUGAGCCAGAACCAAGAAUCGCAGGCUCAACCAACUGAGCUACCCAGCUGCCCAAAGAGAUAGUUUUUUUAGAUCAUGAUCUGGAUAUUACAGUCAACCUAUGUGCUAUUUAAGUGAAUAAAUAAUGCAAAAUGUGUGGUAUGAUUGUGUGUCUAUAUAUGCAUGAUAAAAACAAACACAUAUUAAAUUUUAAUUAAGUGGUGGCAAUAUGGAGACUUUUUUGGAUCACCUUUGCAUAUUUUCUAAAAUGAAUACAUAUGCAUGUAAGUGUAUAUACACACACACAAAUAUGCAUAUAUGCAUAACUUUUCAAUAAGAAAUAGUGAUCUAAUGUACAGUUACUAUCACAUACAAAUACAGUAUUUCUAACAAUGUUAUCCAUUUGAAACACACACUGAACCUGUGUCUCUGUACAACAAAAUGACUGUAACAAAGUUUAAAAAUUGAUGAGUAUAGUAACCUGAGCAAUGUUUACUAGCUUCAUAUUGAGAAAAAGAAAAAACAUCAAAACGAUUAAGUGAUUAAAUUGUCAUAGGAAAUCGUAAAUAAAAAAGAUAAAUACUCUGAGUCUGUAUAAUGCUGGAAUGGGGGAAUAGACUCCUAUGCAUCAAGAUUUCAUGAGAUUCUUUACACUAAAAUGAAAUCCAGAUGGAGUAAAGAAUUAACGAUUUUUAAAAACCCACAAAUAUCUCUAGGAAGUUCAAGUGCAUAUUAAUCAAUUCUUUAGAUCAAGAAAAACAGAAUAUUGAAUCAAUGGAAGAUCAACAGAUUUAGGUUCAACUUUAAAAAUUUGAGAUUUCUGGGUGCCUGGGUGGCUCAGUGGGUUAAGCCUCUGCCUUCAGCUCAGGUCAUGAUCUCAGGGUCUGGGAUCAAGGCCCACAUCAGGCUCUCUGCUCAGAGGGGAAUCCUGUCCCCCCCCCCCCUCUGCCUGCCUCUCUGCCUACCUGUGACCUCUCUCUCUCUCUCUCUCUCUCAAAUAAAUGGAUAAAAUCUUUUAAAAAAAAUUUGGGAUUUCCAUUAAAAAAAAAAUGCCACAGUGCAAUAAACAAAGAACAGGGAAAAAUCAUUUUCAGUAAAAUGGAGUGAAUGGGAACUAUGUCUAAUAUUACCUAUAAACUAGUUAUACUACUAUAAACUAGUAACUCUCAAAACAAUUUAAAUAAUACUCCCUCAACCUAUAGAUAAAUGGGCCUAGGACAUAAAUAAAUUCAUUAAAGAGAAAAUUUAACUGCAUAACAAACUAUAUAGAUAAAUGUUCACCUCACCAACAGAGAAGUUUAAACAACAAUAAAAUCCCAUUUUCACCCAUGAAAUUAGCCCUUUCCUUUUCAAAUGGGAAAAUCCAAUGUUCGCAAAGAUGGCAAGAAAUAUAGAUUUUGAUUUAUUGCUAACAUAAUCCCUUGGAUUUGGUAAUAUAUAUUGAGAAUCCCCAAAAUACUCAUACUCCAUUACCAGAGAAUUUAAUUCCUAGGAAUCUAUGAGAAAAGGCUUUAUGCCUUUAAACCUUUGUGCCUCUGAUGCUGCAUUAUUAAUGUUUUUUAAAAUUUCUUUUCAGUGUUCCAGAAUUCAUUGUUUAUGCACCGCACCCAGUGCUCCAUGCACUACAUGCCCUCCAUAAUACCCACCACCAGCCGCAUUAUUAAUGUUACUGACACCUAACUAUCCAACAUUCAAGCUUGAUUAUAGCACAAUGAAAUAUCAUGCAACCAUUAGAAUACCAUUUUGCCCUUCAUUCUCUCAAUAAGCAAACAUUUCACAGUGUUUAAUUUAUGUGCAGUCUUCCUUAGUAUACAGCGCUUACAGAUAUUCAACAUUUGCUUUUUUAAUUAAAAAAAAAAUCCUGGGGGGCGCCUGGGAGGCUCAGUGGGUUAAGCCUCUGCCUUCAGCUCAGGUAAUGAUCUCAGGGUCCUGGGAUAGAGCCCUGCAUCGGGCUCUCUGCUCAGCAGGGAGCCUGCUUUCCUCUCCCCCUCUACCUGCCUCUCUGCCUACUUGUGAUCUCUCUCUCACUCUCUGUCAAAUACAUAAAUAAAAAUCUUUAAAAAAAAUACUUGGAUGGCUAAGUUUUAGGGAUUUAAAAAAAAUCACCUCAUGUUUCUCUAUAUGUUUAAAAAAAAAAAAUGAUCUCAAGUUCUGAAUUUUCUCCAAGAGUCCAUCCUUGACUCAAUACAAAGAUAACUUGCUGCUAUGUUUUCUGAUCUAAAUACUUUACCUGAAGACUAUAAAUACCUCUUAAACUAACUGGUUCAACAGAGACAAAAAGCAUCUAAAAGUUCAGCUCUGCCAAGAAACCACAUUUUGGGGGACUAGAUGGAUAGUUUUUGUCCUCAACCAGAAUAAAGAAUAUGUAAUUGUACUAAGGUCAAAAACUAAAAGAUAACCGAGAAGAUUUUUAGCAAUGUAGGUACUGCAGAUCUCCUUUUUUUCAAUAGCCUUAAGUUUACAAUUCCAGAAACUCUUGGGAAAGUGAAAAAUGCUGUCUACUCUUUAAAACCCUUUUUGCAAUAACCUCCAAUUUUGUCCUAAAUAGGCCAACCCUUUCUCUGUGUUCACAAAAUAUUAACUAACCAGAAGAGUUUACACUGGAAGAGACUGUCUAUCUUAGCACAUUCCAUGAUCUGGAGAUGAAAGUGCAACCUCUUUGCCUGCAUGCCAUGGCAGCACUGGCCACACUUGACACUUCCACCAUAGUGCUUGCUUCCUUAUUCCCACAUAUGUCCAAUCUUGCUACUUCUCAGAAACACUUGACAUUUAUAUUAACAAAUUUACUGCAUAUUAAAUCUGUUUGCUCUACAUGUCACUGUCCAUUUCUCUACAUAUUACUAUCCAUUGUUCAAAAUCCAAUCCUGCACAUUUAUUCCCUCUUAAGAGUGAAGAGGAACUGCAUGGCCACUUUGCAUUCUCUCAGAAAUUAAUCAUGCGAUACCUGAAUUUCACAUCCUCUAGUCCAAGUGUUAGUUUGUAGAUGGCUUUCAUCUUAAAAACAACAAAGACAUGCUCAGUCCAGGAUACGUUGUUAUCAUUGAACAUGCAAGCACCAGUACAGCUCCACUGCCUCAUUCUCAGUCAGCCAAGGUACCGGAACUAAUAGCUCAGAUAUAAGCCUGCACUCUGGCAAAAGAGGAAGGUAAAUAUUCAUAUGGAUAGUAGAUAUGAUUUGGGGGGAGGUUUAUGAUUCAUGAGUUUUAUGAAAACUGAUGAUUUCUCACCUCUUCUUCUAUUAUGUCUAUUAAAAAUUGUAAAAAGAUCAUGGUUUACUAGAAUGUUGUCAAUACCCCAAGGAGAUAAGUGUUAAGAACUGAAAAAAAAAAAACAAAAAACAAAAAAAACCCUCUAAAUCUAAAUACUUUAGUGUUCUCUAGUGGUCUAGAGAACACUCUAGAAGCCAAGAGUAAUAUCUUUGCUUUGACUUACAUACUUAAUGAUGUUUGUGGCUUUUUUUAAAAAAAGAUUUUAUUUAUUUAUUUGACAGACAGAGAUUACAAGUAGGAAGAGAGGCAGGCAGAGAGAGCAAGGAGGAAGCAGGCUCCCUGCUGAGCAGAGAGCCUGAUGCGGUCUCAAUCCUAGGACCCUGGGGUCAUGACCUGAGCCGAAGGCAGAGGCUUUAACCCACUGAGCCACCCAGGCGCCCCGAAGUUUAUGGCUUUUUAACACCCUAGCCAAUAUUAAGUGUUGCUAAAUUUAUAUUUAUCACCACUAAAUCUACAAAGAAAAAUGAAUUCAUUUAGACAAGUUGUAAUUAACUCACAGUUCUCAGCCCAGCCUACUGAAAAGUAAUAUUGGCAAAGGAUGCUCUAUCGCUAGAGAUGGAUUCUGGCAAUUUGAAGAUGGCUAUACUGAAGUGCCAUAAUCCAUCCAAUGGACCCUGGUCAAAUUACUUCACAACUAUUCCCAUUAUGGAAUGAAUAAAGUAGUUUCCACAUUAAAUAGCAGUUUGGAAAAUUUUUCAAAAUUAGUCAAGGGAGUAGUAGAAUCAUGUCUUACUUACAAAUAACAUAACCUAGAAAAGGUAUGGUUCACACUCUCCUUAAGACCUUUUUGAACUUUGUUUUGUUUUGUUUUGUUUUAAAGAUUUUAUUUUAUUUAUUUGACAGAGAGAGAUCACAAGUAGGCAGAGGCAGAGAGAGAGAGGAGGAAGCAGGCUCCCUGCUGAGCAUAGAGCCCAAUGCGGGACUGGAUCCCACGAUCCUGAGAUCAUGACCUGAGCUGAAGGCAGUGGCUUACCCCACUGAGCCACCCAGGCGCCCCCUUUUUGAACUUUUGUAAAUUGAUUUUGACUGCUCAAUUCUCAAGACUAUGAAUAUGUGCUAGUUAUUGUUUUUAAAUUUUUGCAUGUAUAGAAAAACUUCCCUGCCUUAAAUGAUUUCAUGAAUGAUUCAAAUACUUUAUCCUUCCCUAUUGGGAUCUAUCAUAUGAAUUUAUUUGGUCAAUGGAAUGACAUAAAGCAGGUAAUUGCAAAAACCCUUAUAAGAUUCCACUCUAGCUCUUGCCUUUUUGCUGUUUCAUAAGAACACACCCAGGCUAGCCUAAUAAAGGAUGAAAACAUAUGGAGCAGAUAGGAGUUACCCCACAUACCCCAGGUAUAUGGUGGGAUGGCCAUAAGGUCAUUAGAGAGCAGCGAGGUAAGGUCAUUAUAGAGCAGCUGAUAAGGAAAACUGAGAUUCCAUUCCACAGUGGUGAUGUAGGAAGACCCUGACUUCACCUUCUCCAUGGCCACACCAAAUCUAUAAAUAUUAAUAGAAUAGUUCCUUCUGAAGAACCGAAGGAUGACUGAACAGCUUCUGCAUAACAAAAGAUAAAGAAGCUACAUAGAGAACUGCAAGAGAGAGGGAGGCACAGCAAUGAAGGGAAGUCCCACCUCUGACACUGCGAAUCAUAGUGUGGAGGGACAAUACUGAGGGUUCAGUUAGAGAUUCAUCUGUCUUGGGGCAAGAAAAUAAGCCAUGGUUGAAAAGGACAAGUAGGAUAAAAAAAAAUUGUAGCCCUAGAACUCCACCAAAUGCUAGGGAAGCUCCUAGAACUCUCUCGAGAUUGGACAGGUUGUUGAGUGUCACAGUUCCUACUCCCCUUAUACCUAGAUAGUGUAGAUAGAAGCAUGGUUUACACAUCCAAGCUUGUACAGAGCCCCAGUGAGCCCUGGGCCCCUAGCCCACAUGAGCCCCAGCCAUUCUAUCAAAAUGGCCCCAGUAUGAAACACACUGGGACACUCCUGCUAGGUAGCCACUACACCUCCAGCCACUGUAUCAAAGUCAUAUGCAUGCAAAGCACCCUGAAACAUUGCAGGCCCCCACCACAUUGGCUUCAGAUGGCUUGCUAGGGCACUUACUGCAGAGAGUGUGCUGGGACCUCCUGGUUCACAGUUGCUUUGGCUCCAGCUAACUUGCCAGGGAGCCCUUUGCAGUAAGCACCUUGGGACACACUGACCUGCACCCACCUCAGCUUCAGUAGUUCUGCCAGGGAGUAGUUGUAUGUGGAGAACCUGAGGCACCCUCACUGAUACCUACUUCAACAGCUGUCCUGCUGGGGUGCUGCUUGUGCAGGGUGCACCAGGACCUCCCUAAGCUUGUGCUCCACCUCAGCAGUAUCUGCAUGGAGAGCUAUGGGACACCUAGCUUUUACCCAUUUCAACUAUUUUGUAAGGGUUCUCUCAGUGUGUAGAGCCCUAGGACCCUCUGCUUACAGCCACUUCACCUUCAGCUGUGCUACCAGGGUGCUCUCUCUAUGUAGACAGCUCCAGGAAUGAGCUGGUGGCCAUCUCACCAGGAUGCAGCCCCCGCAUGGAGUGCCCCAGUACCCACAGAUCACACAAGCCACAAUUCUAGCCAGCCCCUCAAAGUUACUAGGAACACACAGUGUACACAAGGGACGACCAUACACAAGACCAUUCCUUCAAGUUUCAGAUAAGUAGCUGUUCUAAUCAUAGUAACAAAUGCAGAAAAUCAAGUAAAAUUGGAGGCAGAGGAAUAUGCUUCAAAUAAUUGAACAAAACAAAACCUCAGAAAAAGACUAAAUGAAACAGAGAUAAUCAAUAUGCCUGAUAAAAAGUUUACAGUUAUGGUCAUAAAGGUGUUCACUGGUCUAGAGAAAAAAGUGAAAGACCUCAGGGAUAACUUCCACAAAGAGAUAGAAAACAAAAAGGAACAAUUCAGAGUUGAAGAAUGUAAUAACGGAAAUGAAAAACUACUAGAUGGCGUCAAUAGUAAGUUAGCAAAUGCAGAACACAUAAGUGAUCUAGAAGAUAGCUAAAUAGCAAAAAGAAAAAAAGAAUUUUUAAAAAAUGAGCAUAGGUUAAGGGAUCUCUCAGACAACAUCAAAUAAGUAAGCAUUUGCAUAUUUGGGGCCUCCGAAGGAGAAGAGAAAGGAGUAGAAAAUAUAUUUGAAGAAAUAAUAGCUGAAAACAUCCCUAACCUGGGGAAGGAAGUAACAGCCAGGUUCAGGAACCAUAGAAUUCCAAGCAAGAUGAACCCAAGGAGGGCCACACCAUAACACAGAAUAAUUAGAAUGUCAAAUGUUAAUGAUAAAGAGAAUUUUAAAGGCAGUCAGAGCGAAGCAAAAAGUUACAUAAAAGGGAAACCCCAUAAGGCUAUCAAAAAAGAAAAGGAAAGUCAAGAAUAACACUAGAGAAAUUUAUAAUCUUAAGUAAAGAGAAGAAGUAACAGAGAAGAACCACAAAAACAACCAGAAAACAAUCAAAAUGACAGUAAGUACAACACUGAAAAUAAUUACUUAAAUAUAAGUGCUCUAAACACCCCAAUGAAAAGGCAUAUGGUGGACCAAUGGAUAAAAAAACAAAACACAUCUACACGUUGCCUACAAGACACUCAUUUGAGAUACAAGGACACACUCAGUCUGAAAGUGAAUGCAUCGAAAAGAUAUUUCAUGCAGAAGGAAGUGGGAAAAAAAACCCAAGGUGACAAUAUUUAUAUCACAAAAAUCCGACCUUUAAGACUUACAAGAGAAUAAGUAGGGCACUGAAUAAUGAUAAAGAAUCAAUUGAACAAGAUGACCGAACAAUCAUAAAUAUCUAUGUACCCAACAAUGGCGCACCUAAAUACUUAAAGCACAUAUUAAUACCUGUAAAGGAAGAAAGAGUAAUACAAUAAUAGUAGGGGAAUUUAACACAGCAUUUUUUAAAUAGAUAUAUCAUACAGGCAGAAUAUCAAUAAGGAAAGUGUUUCUUUGAACAAUACAGUAGGUCAGAUGGACCUAACAGAUAAAUACAGUACAUGCCACAUAAAAACAAAAGAAUACAAAUUCUUUCUAUAUGCACACAGAAUGUUUUCCAGGAUAGAUCACACGGUAGGCCAAAAAACAAGUCUCAAUACAUUUAAAAAGAUUGAAUCAUAUCAUGUAUAUUUUAUAAUCACAAUGGGGUGAAAUAGAAACCAAUUACAGAAAAAAAAAAUGGAAAACCAAACAGGUGGAGAUUAAACAACAUGCUACCAAGCAAUAAAUGAGUCAACAAAGAAAA
Molecule: long non-coding RNA, 9208 nt
Organism: Mustela lutreola (European mink)
Lineage: Eukaryota; Metazoa; Chordata; Mammalia; Carnivora; Mustelidae
Exons: 2
Source: RefSeq, a predicted model, not a curated record